Molecule: ribosomal RNA, 680 nt
Filed under: Arthrobacter sp.
Lineage: Bacteria; Bacillati; Actinomycetota; Actinomycetes; Micrococcales; Micrococcaceae
Description: bacterial SSU rRNA
Rfam family: Bacterial small subunit ribosomal RNA
Source: RNAcentral
UUUACUCCUAUCGCGAGGCAGCAGUGGGGAAUAUUGCACAAUGGGCGCAAGCCUGAUGCAGCGACGCCGCGUGAGGGAUGACGGCCUUCGGGUUGUAAACCUCUUUCAGUAGGGAAGAAGCGUAAGUGACGGUACCUGCAGAAGAAGCGCCGGCUAACUACGUGCCAGCAGCCGCGGUAAUACGUAGGGCGCAAGCGUUAUCCGGAAUUAUUGGGCGUAAAGAGCUCGUAGGCGGUUUGUCGCGUCUGCCGUGAAAGUCCGGGGCUCAACUCCGGAUCUGCGGUGGGUACGGGCAGACUAGAGUGAUGUAGGGGAGACUGGAAUUCCUGGUGUAGCGGUGAAAUGCGCAGAUAUCAGGAGGAACACCGAUGGCGAAGGCAGGUCUCUGGGCAUUAACUGACGCUGAGGAGCGAAAGCAUGGGGAGCGAACAGGAUUAGAUACCCUGGUAGUCCAUGCCGUAAACGUUGGGCACUAGGUGUGGGGGACAUUCCACGUUUUCCGCGCCGUAGCUAACGCAUUAAGUGCCCCGCCUGGGGAGUACGGCCGCAAGGCUAAAACUCAAAGGAAUUGACGGGGGCCCGCACAAGCGGCGGAGCAUGCGGAUUAAUUCGAUGCAACGCGAAGAACCUUACCAAGGCUUGACAUGAACCGGAAAGAUCUGAAACCAGGUCCCCCCCAG